GAUGAACGCUGGCGGCGUGCCUAAUACAUGCAAGUCGAGCGAACAGAUGAGGAGCUUGCUUCUCUGACGUUAGCGGCGGACGGGUGAGUAACACGUGGAUAACCUACCUAUAAGACUGGGAUAACUUCGGGAAACCGGAGCUAAUACCGGAUAAUAUAUUGAACCGCAUGGUUCAAUAGUGAAAGACGGUUUUGCUGUCACUUAUAGAUGGAUCCGCGCCGCAUUAGCUAGUUGGUAAGGUAACGGCUUACCAAGGCAACGAUGCGUAGCCGACCUGAGAGGGUGAUCGGCCACACUGGAACUGAGACACGGUCCAGACUCCUACGGGAGGCAGCAGUAGGGAAUCUUCCGCAAUGGGCGAAAGCUUGACGGAGCAACGCCGCGUGAGUGAUGAAGGUCUUCGGAUCGUAAAACUCUGUUAUUAGGGAAGAACAAAUGUGUAAGUAACUAUGCACGUCUUGACGGUACCUAAUCAGAAAGCCACGGCUAACUACGUG
This 497-nucleotide ribosomal RNA is filed under the name uncultured bacterium. RNAcentral describes it as "partial 16S ribosomal RNA". It matches the Rfam family "Bacterial small subunit ribosomal RNA", at positions 28 to 507 of the family's 1533-position model. The record is from RNAcentral.